CAGCAGCCACGGUAAUACGUAGGUGGCAAGCGUUGUCCGGAAUUAUUGGGCGUAAAGGGCUCGCAGGCGGUUUCUUAAGUCUGAUGUGAAAGCCCCCGGCUCAACCGGGGAGGGUCAUCGGAAACUGGGAAACUUGAGUGCAGAAGAGGAGAGUGGAAUUCCACGUGUAGCGGUGAAAUGCGUAGAGAUGUGGAGGAACACCAGUGGCGAAGGCGACUCUCUGGUCUGUAACUGACGCUGAGGAGCGAAAGCGUGGGGAGCGAACAGGAUUAGAUACCCCGGUAGUCCCUGUCUCUUAUAC
RNAcentral lists this ribosomal RNA (301 nucleotides) under uncultured bacterium. RNAcentral describes it as "partial 16S ribosomal RNA". It matches the Rfam family "Bacterial small subunit ribosomal RNA", at positions 509 to 807 of the family's 1533-position model. The record is from RNAcentral.